GCACAAGCGGCGGAGCAUGCGGAUUAAUUCGAUGCAACGCGAAGAACCUUACCUGGGUUUGACAUAUACCGGAAACAUCUAGAGAUAGGUGCCCUUUUGGUCGGUAUACAGGUGGUGCAUGGCUGUCGUCAGCUCGUGUCGUGAGAUGUUGGGUUAAGUCCCGCAACGAGCGCAACCCUCGUCCUAUGUUGCCAGCGGAUAAUGCCGGGGACUCAUAGGAGACCGCCGGGGUCAACUCGGAGGAAGGUGGGGAUGACGUCAAGUCAUCAUGCCCCUUAUGUCCAGGGCUUCACGCAUGCUACAAUGGCCGGUACAAAGAGCUGCGAACCUGCAAGGGUGAGCGAAUCUCAAAAAGCCGGUCUCAGUUCGGAUUGGGGUCUGCAACUCGACCCCAUGAAGUCGGAGUCGCUAGUAAUCGCAGAUCAGCAACGCUGCGGUGAAUACGUUCCCGGGGCUU
This 457-nucleotide ribosomal RNA is filed under the name uncultured Tessaracoccus sp. RNAcentral describes it as "bacterial SSU rRNA". It matches the Rfam family "Bacterial small subunit ribosomal RNA", at positions 923 to 1382 of the family's 1533-position model. Lineage: Bacteria; Bacillati; Actinomycetota; Actinomycetes; Propionibacteriales; Propionibacteriaceae. The record is from RNAcentral.